Molecule: ribosomal RNA, 509 nt
Filed under: uncultured bacterium
Lineage: Bacteria
Description: bacterial SSU rRNA
Rfam family: Bacterial small subunit ribosomal RNA
Source: RNAcentral
AGUGAACGCUGGCGGUAGGCCUAACACAUGCAAGUCGAACGGCAGCACAGGAGAGCUUGCUCUCUGGGUGGCGAGUGGCGGACGGGUGAGGAAUACAUCGGAAUCUACCUUUUCGUGGGGGAUAACGUAGGGAAACUUACGCUAAUACCGCAUACGACCUACGGGUGAAAGUGGGGGACCGCAAGGCCUCACGCGAUUAGAUGAGCCGAUGUCCGAUUAGCUAGUUGGCGGGGUAAUGGCCCACCAAGGCGACGAUCGGUAGCUGGUCUGAGAGGAUGAUCAGCCACACUGGAACUGAGACACGGUCCAGACUCCUACGGGAGGCAGCAGUGGGGAAUAUUGGACAAUGGGCGCAAGCCUGAUCCAGCCAUACCGCGUGGGUGAAGAAGGCCUUCGGGUUGUAAAGCCCUUUUGUUGGGAAAGAAAUCCUAUCGGUUAAUAACCGGUGGGGAUGACGGUACCCAAAGAAUAAGCACCGGCUAACUUCGUGCCAGCCGCCGCCGUAACAC